This 1682-nucleotide ribosomal RNA is filed under the name Hirsutella vermicola. Its description in RNAcentral is "SSU rRNA". It matches the Rfam family "Bacterial small subunit ribosomal RNA". Lineage: Eukaryota; Fungi; Ascomycota; Sordariomycetes; Hypocreales; Ophiocordycipitaceae. The record is from RNAcentral.
UAAUUGUUGAGUUUGGUGAUGGCUCUGAUUGAAUACUGUCCAAGUGCUUGACACAUGCUAAUCGUACGUUUUAAUUUAUACUAGACGUUAUUUUAGGGGUUACAGUCCCGUUGGGGUAUAAAUUAAAAAGUGGUGUACAGGUGAGUAUAAAGAUAUAAUUCGCCGGCCUUAAAGAGAAGGUAAAUCCUUCAUAAUAAAUAAAAGGAUUAAAUUCCUGCUUUAAGAGGAAGAUAAAUAUCUUCGGGAUAGGUAGUAGUUAAGGUGAUGACUUAACUAGCCUACAACUCUCGUAGUCGUAUCUGAAAGGUUGAUCGACCACAUUGGGUCUGAAAAAACCCCAAUGCAUAUUAGUACAGCAGUGAGGAAUAUUGGUCAAUGGCCUAACGGCUGAACUGGCAACUUGGAAAAGUGACAAGUCCUAUUUUGAUUAUGGCUGUAGAUUUCGCCCCGCGAAAUCCCAAAGCUACUAAAAAUAAUUUUUAGGAUUGUAUUGUUGUAGAAUAAAACUUUGUUUAUAUAUUGAUAAUGACAAUAUAUAUAUUGCGUCUUGACUAAUUACGUGCCAGCAGUCGCGGUAAUACGUAAGAGACUAGUAUUAUUCAUCUUAAUUAGGUUUAAAGGGUACCUAGACGGUCAAUAUAACUUAUAUAAUGUUAGUACUUGACUAGAGUUUUAUAUAUGAGAGGGGAGUACUUGAGGUGGAGAGAUUAAAUUCAGUAAUACCAAAGGGACUCGGUAACGGCGAAGGCACCCCUUUAGGCAAAAACUGACGUUGAGGGACGAAGGCUUAGAUAACAAACAGGAUUAGAUACCCAAGUAGUCUUAGCAGUAAACGAUGAAUGCCAUAAAUUAGAUGAAAGAUUUAAUAAUUUAAUUCUUCAGUAAAGAAUUAAUAUUAAAUAUUAUUUGGUUUAAAAAUGAAAGUAUAAGCAUUCCACCUCAAGAGUAAUGUGGCAACGCAGGAACUGAAAUCACUAGACCGUUUCUGACCCCAGUAGUGAAGUAUGUUGUUUAAUUCGAUGAUCCUCGAAAAACCUUACCACAAUUUGUAUAAUUACAGGUGUUGCACGGCUGUUUCCAGUUAAUGUUGUGAAACUAUGGUUUCCAUGAAAUUAACGAAAUCCCUGACUUUAUUUUUUUUUAUUACGAAUGCUGUGCAAGCUAAAGCUCAGAAUAGAGACUUCGUUACGAUAAAGUAUUAAAUACUUAAAAAUAGAAGAAUAAAAAAAGGGGACAAAGACAAGUCAUCAUGGCCUUGAUAUUGUGGGCUAUAGACGUGCCACAUAUUCCUAUACAAAGAGAUGCAAAAAUGUGAAUUUAAGCUAAUCUCAAAAAAUAGGAUAAAAUUUUUAUGGAUUGUAGUCUGAAAUUCGACUAUAUGAAUAAGUAAUUACUAGUAAUCGUGUAUCAUCAUGGCACGGUGAAUUUACUUCGGAUUGGUACUAAUAACUCGUCACAUGCUGAAAAGAACUUAUGCAAUAAGUUUGCUUUCUUAAUAAUUAGUAAAAAAAACAUGUAGGUUUUGUCAAGGAAUUUAACAAGUUAGGCCUCUGUAUUCUUCGGAUUAGUAUGCUAGUCAUUGUAUAUGUCUAUUAUUAGGGAUCUUCGUAUGCGAGGUUCUAAUUAGUGUUAAGUCGAAAUACAGUUCGUGUAGUGGAAGUUGCACGGGAUUGAUUAAUUUU